RNAcentral lists this unclassified non-coding RNA (348 nucleotides) under soil metagenome. RNAcentral describes it as "partial contains 5.8S ribosomal RNA, internal transcribed spacer 2, and large subunit ribosomal RNA". The stretch from base 1 to 120 matches the Rfam family "5.8S ribosomal RNA", at positions 35 to 154 of the family's 154-position model. The record is from RNAcentral.
GAUGAAGAACGCAGCAAAAUGCGAUAAGUAAUGUGAAUUGCAGAAUUCAGUGAAUCAUCAAAUCUUUGAACGCACAUUGCGCCCGCUGGUAUUCCGGCGGGCAUGCCUGUUCGAGCGUCAUUUCAACCCUCAAGCCCCCGGGUUUGGUGUUGGGGAUCGGCUCUGCCCUUCUGGGCGGUGCCGCCCCCGAAAUACAUUGGCGGUCUCGCUGCAGCCUCCAUUGCGUAGUAGCUAACACCUCGCAACUGGAACGCGGCGCGGCCAUGCCGUAAAACCCCAACUUCUGAAUGUUGACCUCGGAUCAGGUAGGAAUACCCGCUGAACUUAAGCAUAUCAAUAAGCGGAGGA